Salvia miltiorrhiza (redroot sage) is the source of this 445-nucleotide long non-coding RNA. RefSeq lists it as uncharacterized. The record is from RefSeq and is a predicted model, not a curated record. Lineage: Eukaryota; Viridiplantae; Streptophyta; Magnoliopsida; Lamiales; Lamiaceae. The transcript has 3 exons.
CUCACACAUACAACACCUAAAACACACACUAGUUCACGCCAUUUUCAUUUUAGUUUGAGCUCAAGCUUUUGACCUCCGAUUUGAGCACCGAGACGAGCGCCGAUCAUCUUUUCGAUCACGUAUCUAAGUAGGUCCUUUUGGGAAGUAACGACUUGAGGGAGAGAGUGACGUUACUCAUUGAUACAGAGACACAACGAGGUUGAGCUGAUGUGAUGAUGGUGCUGCAAUGAGCGGAGUCUCCAGGGUUGUUAAUAAAUAGUUAACCUGUCUAGAAUAUGUCUUCAUACAUAUGUCUAGCUACUUUCCGCUGUAAGAUGUUGUUGAUGUUAUAGUAUGUUAUGUCAUACUUUGAGUCUUAAGAGAAUGGUUUCAUACGAUGUAUAACUUGAUUAAUGAUAUUAAUUAAGUUUUAUGCUGUCUUUCAUAGACUGUUUUCAAUUGAGUA